This 386-nucleotide long non-coding RNA is filed under the name Taeniopygia guttata (zebra finch). Its description in RNAcentral is "lncRNA (ENSTGUG00000023451.1)". Lineage: Eukaryota; Metazoa; Chordata; Aves; Passeriformes; Estrildidae. The record is from RNAcentral.
GUUAAAGAAUCCUAGUGAUGUUGAGAAGUUUGAGAAGGAGGUUUGUUUUGUUAGAAUUAGAGUUUGGGUUAUUUUUGAGAUUUCUAGGGCUAGGGCAAUUCCUAGGGCGGUUACUACAAUGGCUGUGAUUUUGAUGGAUAGCGGUAUAGUUGUGGGUGGGGUUUUUGUGGGGAUAAUAAAUGAGGUGAUGAGGAAUCCUGCUGUGAUGCUUCCUAGUGCUAGUCGAGUUAGGGGUGAAGUUACUGCGGUAAAGGAUGUGUUUAGGCUUUCGAUGAUUUGGUCUUUUGAGUAGAAUCCUGCUAGGAAGGGGGUUCCUAUUAGGGCGAGGUUGCCAAUGGUGAGGCAGGAGGUGGUUGUGGGUAGUAUUUUUUGUAGGCCGCCUAUUU